GACGUAGGAGGCGAGCGUUGUCCGGAUUCAUUGGGCGUAAAGAGCGCGCAGGCGGCUUGGUAAGUCGGAUGUGAAAUCCCGAGGCUCAACCUCGGGUCUGCAUCCGAUACUGCCCGGCUAGAGGUAGGUAGGGGAGAUCGGAAUUCCUGGUGUAGCGGUGAAAUGCGCAGAUAUCAGGAGGAACACCGGUGGCGAAGGCGGAUCUCUGGGCCGAUACUGACGCUGAGGCGCGAAAGCCAGGGGAGCGAACGGG
This 253-nucleotide ribosomal RNA is filed under the name uncultured bacterium. Its description in RNAcentral is "partial 16S ribosomal RNA". It matches the Rfam family "Bacterial small subunit ribosomal RNA", at positions 524 to 776 of the family's 1533-position model. The record is from RNAcentral.